RNAcentral lists this ribosomal RNA (238 nucleotides) under uncultured bacterium. Its description in RNAcentral is "partial 16S ribosomal RNA". It matches the Rfam family "Bacterial small subunit ribosomal RNA", at positions 96 to 334 of the family's 1533-position model. The record is from RNAcentral.
CGGCGGACGGGUGAGUAACGCGUGGGUAACCUGCCUCAUACAGGGGGAUAACAGUUGGAAACGGCUGCUAAUACCGCAUAAGCGCACAGUACCGCAUGGUACCGUGUGAAAAACUCCGGUGGUAUGAGAUGGACCCGCGUCUGAUUAGCUAGUUGGUAAGGUAACGGCUUACCAAGGCGACGAUCAGUAGCCGACCUGAGAGGGUGAUCGGCCACAUUGGAACUGAGACACGGUCCAA